GAUGAACGCCGGCGGCGUGCUUAACACAUGCAAGUCGAACGGGAAUUACUUUAUUGAAACUUCGGUCGAUUUAAUUUAAUUCUAGUGGCGGACGGGUGAGUAACGCGUGGGUAACCUGCCUUAUACAGGGGGAUAACAGUCAGAAAUGGCUGCUAAUACCGCAUAAGCGCACAGAGCUGCAUGGCUCAGUGUGAAAAACUCCGGUAGUAUAAGAUGGACCCGCGUUGGGUUAGCUUGUUGGUGGGGUAACGGCCCACCAAGGCGACGAUCCAUAGCCGGCCUGAGAGGGUGAACGGCCACAUUGGGACUGAGACACGGCCCAGACUCCUACGGGAGGCAGCAGUGGGGAAUAUUGCACAAUGGGGGAAACCCUGAUGCAGCGACGCCGCGUGAAGGAAGAAGUAUCUCGGUAUGUAAACUUCUAUCAGCAGGGAAGAUAGUGACGGUACCUGACUAAGAAGCCCCGGCUAACUACGUGCCAGCCGCCGCCGUAA
This 494-nucleotide ribosomal RNA is filed under the name uncultured bacterium. Its description in RNAcentral is "partial 16S ribosomal RNA". It matches the Rfam family "Bacterial small subunit ribosomal RNA", at positions 28 to 523 of the family's 1533-position model. The record is from RNAcentral.